AUAUUGAAAUAAGAUGAAGACAAAGGACCCAACUUUUCAUAAACAGCCAGAUUGCAUCCAGCAUUGUGCAGGCUUAUGUCAAAUCAGCCUAAGCCAUGGUCCUCCUGCCUGAGGUCACAGCCGUGGGAAUGGGCUUUAAAGCUUCUCCUCACUGCUGUUGUGAUAGUGGUAUGGUGGGAUCUCCCAUCAGCAUGGAGACAGCUCCUGAAAUCCUCCUUCACGUGAUCCUAAACUGACCCUUCAUCACAUGAUGGAAGAGGAAGGAGGCAUUGCACGGAACGACAGCGUCACUUUCAGCUUGGAGUCUGCCAGGGAUGGAGCAGAGGCUGUUGGAGAUUCUCAGGUUCAUCAUAUCUUCUACUUGCGUCGUAUUGACAGCUUGUUGCAUAAUCAAAGCGUUUUCCCAGGGAAAACCUUUGCAAGGACAGUUUCCUAACUGCCUGUAAAACUUCAUUUAUGCUGGCAAGCAAUUAUUCACAGGAGUAGUAUCACAAAGUCAACGGGACUAUUGGCAUGACUAAGGGGAAUAAAGAUGAUCACAAUAGGGCA
RNAcentral lists this long non-coding RNA (549 nucleotides) under Apteryx owenii (little spotted kiwi). RNAcentral describes it as "lncRNA (ENSAOWG00000018262.1)". Lineage: Eukaryota; Metazoa; Chordata; Aves; Apterygiformes; Apterygidae. The record is from RNAcentral.